RNAcentral lists this ribosomal RNA (377 nucleotides) under uncultured bacterium. RNAcentral's name for it is "bacterial SSU rRNA". It matches the Rfam family "Bacterial small subunit ribosomal RNA", at positions 28 to 404 of the family's 1533-position model. The record is from RNAcentral.
GACGAACGCUGGCGGCGUGCUUAACACAUGCAAGUCGAGCGGUAAGGCCCUUUCGGGGGUACGACGAGCGGCGAACGGGUGAGUAACACGUGGGUGACCUGCCCUCAGCUCUGGGAUAAGCCCUGGGAAACUGGGUCUAAUACUGGAUAUGACUCCACGGUGCAUGUCGUGGGGUGGAAAGCCUUGUGCGGCUGAGGAUGGGCCCGCGGCCUAUCAGCUUGUUGGUGGGGUGANGGCCUACCAAGGCGACGACGGGUAGCCGGCCUGAGAGGGCGACCGGCCACACUGGGACUGAGACACGGCCCAGACUCCUACGGGAGGCAGCAGUGGGGAAUCUUGCGCAAUGGGCGAAAGCCUGACGCAGCGACGCCGCGUGA